ACCACGUCAAGAGCUUCACUUUGAACUGAUCAAUUUCUCAAUAUCAUUCCGGUAAGUGGUCUUUUUGUUUCCCUCCGCCAUUUUGAUACCUAUGGUUUGGGGUUCUACUGAUUUCAUGCUGUUAGAGCUGUCCUCAUUCUAAUUUCUGUAAAGUCAUAACUCUAAGAACUAUUUUCUACCGCCAAUAUAGGGUUUAUAGGUGUUGUUGUGUUUUGUCUGGGUGAGACUCCGUUAGGGUGUCUUCAAACUAGUUGUACUUUGAGAAACCCAAGUAAGGGGAGCUAAUUAUUUUGUAUGAAUUUAUUUUAUAAAGAUUGUCAACACCCAAUUUCGUCCAGGUGACCAAAUAAUAGGACUUGAUUUUUGUUGUUGUCUUAUUUCAUUAUUUUGUUAUUUUAAAAAGACAAAAAAGAAACAAAGAAGAAAAAAAAAAAAGCAAGCAAAAUUUUUUUUUUUAAAAAAAAAAAGGGAAAAAGAAAAGAAAAAAGAGCAUGAAAA
This 498-nucleotide long non-coding RNA is filed under the name Vigna radiata. RNAcentral's name for it is "long non-coding RNA (VRAD_LNC007896)". The record is from RNAcentral. Lineage: Eukaryota; Viridiplantae; Streptophyta; Magnoliopsida; Fabales; Fabaceae.